GUGCUCAUUUCAGCAGCACAUAUUCCAAAAUUGUAAUGAUACAGAGAAGAUUAGCAUGGCCCUUGUGUGAGGAUCACACACAAAUCUGUGAAGAGUUUUGUAUUUUU
Molecule: small nuclear RNA, 107 nt
Filed under: Chinchilla lanigera (long-tailed chinchilla)
Lineage: Eukaryota; Metazoa; Chordata; Mammalia; Rodentia; Chinchillidae
Source: RNAcentral